UUCUGGCUCAGGACAACGCUGGCGGCGUGCCUAAUACAUGCAAGUCGAACGGCUUUUCUAUGGAAGCUUGCUUCCACUGAGAAGAUAGUGGCGAACGGGUGAGUAACACGUGGGUAACCUGCCCAUAAGAGGGGGAUAACAUCCGGAAACGGGUGCUAAUACCGCAUAGUUUUCUUGAUCGCAUGAUCGGGAAAGGAAAGACGGCCUUUGUGCUGUCGCUUAUGGAUGGACCCGCGGCGUAUUAGUUAGUUGGUGAGGUAACGGCUCACCAAGACGAUGAUACGUAGCCGACCUGAGAGGGUGAUCGGCCACAUUGGGACUGAGACACGGCCCAAACUCCUACGGGAGGCAGCAGUAGGGAAUCUUCCGCAAUGGACGAAAGUCUGACGGAGCAACGCCGCGCGAGUGAAAGAAGGUUUUCGGAUCGUAAAACUCUGUUGUCAGAGAAGAACAAGUUGGAGAGUAACUGCUCCAGCCUUGACGGUAUCUGACCAGAAAGCCACGGCUAACUACGUGCCAGCCGCGGC
This 527-nucleotide ribosomal RNA is filed under the name uncultured bacterium. RNAcentral's name for it is "bacterial SSU rRNA". It matches the Rfam family "Bacterial small subunit ribosomal RNA", at positions 17 to 518 of the family's 1533-position model. The record is from RNAcentral.